GAUAUGAACUCACAGGCUUUGACUGGGAAGAUUUACUUAACUGGAAAACAACCUGCUGUAUCAAAUACAUGUUUCAUUUUAAUUAAAUACUUUUAAAUGGACUUUAUUUUAGGACUGCUGCAGAUCAAUGACAAAAUCGCCCUAAAGGAAAUCACAAGGCAGUUAAAUCUGGAAAAUGUAGUUGGAGAUAAAGUUUUUGGAAGCUUUGCUGAAAACCUUUCAUUUCUUCUGGAAGCUUUAAAAAAAGGUGACCGAACUAGCAGUUGCCCAGUGAUCUUCAUAUUAGAUGAAUUUGAUCUUUUUGCUCAUCAUAAAAACCAAACACUUCUCUAUAAUCUUUUUGACAUUUCUCAGUCUGCACAGACCCCAAUAGCAGUUAUUGGUCUUACAUGUAGAUUGGAUAUUUUGGAACUCUUAGAAAAAAGAGUGAAGUCAAGAUUUUCUCACCGGCAGAUACACUUAAUGAAUUCAUUUGGUUUUCCACAGUAUGUUAAAAUAUUUAAAGAACAGUUAUCUCUACCUGCAGAGUUUCCAGACAAGGUUUUUGCUGAGAAGUGGAAUGAAAAUGUUCAG
RNAcentral lists this small RNA (573 nucleotides) under Pan troglodytes (chimpanzee). Its description in RNAcentral is "retained intron". The record is from RNAcentral. Lineage: Eukaryota; Metazoa; Chordata; Mammalia; Primates; Hominidae.